GACGAACGCUGGCGGCGUGCCUAAUACAUGCAAGUCGAGCGGACUUUCAAGAAGCUUGCUUUUUGAAAGUUAGCGGCGGACGGGUGAGUAACACGUGGGCAACCUGCCUGCAAGACGGGGAUAACUCCGGGAAACCGGGGCUAAUACCGGAUAAUAUCUUCCUUCGCAUGAAGGAAGGUUGAAAGGCGGCGCAAGCUGCCGCUUGCAGAUGGGCCCGCGGCGCAUUAGCUAGUUGGUGAGGUAACGGCUCACCAAGGCGACGAUGCGUAGCCGACCUGAGAGGGUGAUCGGCCACACUGGGACUGAGACACGGCCCAGACUCCUACGGGAGGCAGCAGUAGGGAAUCUUCCGCAAUGGACGAAAGGCUGACGGAGCAACGCCGCGUGAGCGAAGAAGGUCGUCGGAUCGUAAAGCUCUGUUGUCAGGGAAGAACAAGUACCGUUCGAACAGGGCGGUACCUUGACGGUACCUGACCAGAAAGCCACGGCUAACUACGUG
This 499-nucleotide ribosomal RNA is filed under the name uncultured bacterium. Its description in RNAcentral is "partial 16S ribosomal RNA". It matches the Rfam family "Bacterial small subunit ribosomal RNA", at positions 28 to 507 of the family's 1533-position model. The record is from RNAcentral.